UGCAGGUAAGCGCGGAAGUGGUAGAGGCCGCCUGUAGUGGGUGGCAGCCCCUUUGGGGUGGGAACCUCGGUUUCCGGGACCUGUUUUUCA
RNAcentral lists this non-coding RNA (90 nucleotides) under unclassified sequences. RNAcentral's name for it is "DUF3800-VII RNA". It matches the Rfam family "DUF3800-VII RNA". The record is from Rfam by way of RNAcentral.